UUCUAUCCAGAAACAUUCAUGAUGGGAAGAGAAGCCUUGCUCCCCUGCUCUCCCAUUCCCCCUCUCCUGUUCUUUUAUCUCUUUCACAUAAGCUAUUAAUUAUGCAGGCUCAAUCCUGCCUAAGUUUUCCAAAUCUCUCUCAGGACAGUCUUGCAGGAAGGAGCUUGAGGCUGUGAUGGUCUGGAAGUCUAGUCUUUCUCAUGGCCUUCUCAAAUUGUCUCAGGAGGACAACUGCCUUAUCUCAUGUUAAUCUCUGCUGCUCUGAGACAAUGUUCUGUCGUU
Molecule: long non-coding RNA, 282 nt
Organism: Sarcophilus harrisii (Tasmanian devil)
Lineage: Eukaryota; Metazoa; Chordata; Mammalia; Dasyuromorphia; Dasyuridae
Exons: 3
Source: RefSeq, a predicted model, not a curated record